AAGAAAGAUAGAGGUUGCGUUUUUUAUUAGUAAUCUGUUGGAUGUGGCAGGCACAGAAGAAAACAGAGGAAAGGAAAAAACGCCGAAAGGAUUGCCAGCCUGUUUUGGUGGUUCUUGGGCAUACAGUUAAGAGCUGUGUGACUGUCAUCGUAAGAUGGUGCGCUAUCUAAAGG
Molecule: regulatory RNA element, 173 nt
Organism: Blautia hydrogenotrophica CAG:147
Lineage: Bacteria; Bacillati; Bacillota; Clostridia; Lachnospirales; Lachnospiraceae
Rfam family: Lysine riboswitch aptamer
About the family: Riboswitches are metabolite binding domains within certain messenger RNAs that serve as precision sensors for their corresponding targets. Allosteric rearrangement of mRNA structure is mediated by ligand binding, and this results in modulation of gene expression.
Source: Rfam